RNAcentral lists this ribosomal RNA (252 nucleotides) under uncultured bacterium. Its description in RNAcentral is "partial 16S ribosomal RNA". It matches the Rfam family "Bacterial small subunit ribosomal RNA", at positions 525 to 776 of the family's 1533-position model. The record is from RNAcentral.
ACGUAGGACACAAGCGUUAUCCGGAGUUACUGGGCGUAAAGGGCGCGUAGGCGGCGUGACAAGUCACUUGUGAAAUCUCCGGGCUUAACUCGGAACGGUCAAGUGAUACUGUCGUGCUAGAGUACAGAAGGGGCAACUGGAAUUCUCGGUGUAGCGGUGAAAUGCGUAGAUAUCGAGAGGAACACCUGCGGCGAAGGCGGCUUCCUGGACUGACACUGACGCUGAGGCGCGAAAGCUAGGGGAGCAAACGGG